Acanthosepion pharaonis is the source of this 111-nucleotide non-coding RNA. Lineage: Eukaryota; Metazoa; Mollusca; Cephalopoda; Sepiida; Sepiidae. The record is from the annotation of a GenBank genome assembly.
AUGGUCACAUCACAUUGAAACACCUGUUCCUGUAUGAUCACUGAAGUUAAGCAAUAUUGAGCCUGGUUAGUACAUCAAUGGUUGACAGCUUGGGAAUACCAGGUGCUGUGA